This 484-nucleotide ribosomal RNA is filed under the name uncultured bacterium. Its description in RNAcentral is "partial 16S ribosomal RNA". It matches the Rfam family "Bacterial small subunit ribosomal RNA", at positions 28 to 507 of the family's 1533-position model. The record is from RNAcentral.
AUUGAACGCUGGCGGCAUGCUUUACACAUGCAAGUCGAACGGCAGCGCGGGCUUCGGCCUGGCGGCGAGUGGCGAACGGGUGAGUAAUGCAUCGGAACGUGCCCAGUAGUGGGGGAUAGCCCGGCGAAAGUCGGAUUAAUACCGCAUACGACCUGAGGGUGAAAGCGGGGGACCGAAAGGCCUCGCGCUAUUGGAGCGGCCGAUGUCGGAUUAGCUAGUUGGUGGGGUAAAGGCUUACCAAGGCGACGAUCCGUAGCUGGUCUGAGAGGACGACCAGCCACACUGGGACUGAGACACGGCCCAGACUCCUACGGGAGGCAGCAGUGGGGAAUUUUGGACAAUGGGGGCAACCCUGAUCCAGCCAUGCCGCGUGCGGGAAGAAGGCCUUCGGGUUGUAAACCGCUUUUGUUCGGGAAGAAAUCCUCUGGGCUAAUACCCCGGGGGGAUGACGGCACCGGAAGAAUAAGCACCGGCUAACUACGUG